GGGCGAAAGCCUGAUCCAGCCAUGCCGCGUGUGUGAAGAAGGUCUUCGGAUUGUAAAGCACUUUAAGUUGCGAGGAAGGGCAGUAAGUUAAUACCUUGCUGUUUUGACGUUACCAACAGAAUAAGCACCGGCUAACUUCGUGCCAGCAGCCGCGGUAAU
RNAcentral lists this ribosomal RNA (159 nucleotides) under uncultured bacterium. RNAcentral's name for it is "partial 16S ribosomal RNA". It matches the Rfam family "Bacterial small subunit ribosomal RNA", at positions 373 to 524 of the family's 1533-position model. The record is from RNAcentral.